Molecule: small nucleolar RNA, 94 nt
Organism: Rosa rugosa (rugosa rose)
Lineage: Eukaryota; Viridiplantae; Streptophyta; Magnoliopsida; Rosales; Rosaceae
Product: small nucleolar RNA Z266
Exons: 1
Source: RefSeq, a predicted model, not a curated record
GUUUGGCAAGAGGGUGAUUCAAUCAGAUGUGUGAAAAGAGAAAUCUAUUUUUGAACUCAAUUGUUUGAGGCAUAACAUGUCUGACUUGCCUAGC